Sycon ciliatum is the source of this 769-nucleotide long non-coding RNA. RefSeq lists it as uncharacterized. The record is from RefSeq and is a predicted model, not a curated record. The transcript is spliced from 5 exons. Lineage: Eukaryota; Metazoa; Porifera; Calcarea; Leucosolenida; Sycettidae.
GAACUGGAAGACGACGAAGAAGAAGCGUGGGAAUCCGGCGGCAAUGGCUGGGAUGACUGAACUUACGGGAAGGAGUGCUUCCAAGAUGGAAGACCAAGAAGAAGAAGCCGCUGAAUCCGGCGGCAAUGGCUGGGGUGCUGCGGUCUCGAGAAGAAGCGUUAUUUCUGCAUUCCAAGAAGGACGGCACAAUGUGUCGGACUGUCCGCGUCGCAUUGAACUGGUCCGAUGAGGCUGCUAUUGCACACACAGUGAGGGAACUCCCAUACGGGAACUCGGAAGUACUGCUACAGUACAGGUAUAUCACCCCGUGACGACCACAUCGAAGUCUGAAAUUGAAGUGUGAAGAUGCUUCAGCAACCCCUUCAUAUUUUUCCAUUGCUUUUAUUGUGCUUCUACUGUGCAUGUGAUGGCAAUGUAUGCCGGUGACACGGUCAGAUUUUGUCCAUGCGUGUAACGUACACCUGCAUGCUAUCGUUGAAAAGGAUCUGCCACUUACGAUCUUCGGACGAGUAUCAGGUCAGCUUGGUUUUGUGUGGGCUGUACCAGAUGCUGUUCACUUCUCUAUCUGUUGGAUAUGUGACUUUCUGCAAGUUUCUGGUGUAUGGUGGCCACUUCUUUGCUUGUCUUUGUAUGACAUUACAAUAAUUCUGUAUUCACUGCUUCCAUGGUGUGGUCUGCAAACUGCAAUCCUUAGGCAAAUAUCAUCACGCUGCAAUGUUGUGCUUUGGCCGCCAGCUUACCUACACAUUGUAGUUGAAUUAUUUUUGUU